Molecule: transfer RNA, 67 nt
Filed under: uncultured Butyricimonas sp.
Lineage: Bacteria; Pseudomonadati; Bacteroidota; Bacteroidia; Bacteroidales; Odoribacteraceae
Rfam family: tRNA
About the family: Transfer RNA (tRNA) molecules are approximately 80 nucleotides in length. Their secondary structure includes four short double-helical elements and three loops (D, anti-codon, and T loops). Further hydrogen bonds mediate the characteristic L-shaped molecular structure. tRNAs have two regions of fundamental functional importance: the anti-codon, which is responsible for specific mRNA codon recognition, and the 3' end, to which the tRNAs corresponding amino acid is attached (by aminoacyl-tRNA synthetases). tRNAs cope with the degeneracy of the genetic code in two manners: having more than one tRNA (with a specific anti-codon) for a particular amino acid; and 'wobble' base-pairing, i.e. permitting non-standard base-pairing at the 3rd anti-codon position.
Source: RNAcentral
ACCAUAGCUCAGUUGGUAGAGCAAAGGACUUAAAAUCCUUGUGUCCCCGGUUCGAUUCCUGGUGGUA